AAGCAAUUGGAUGCUCUAUUCAGGAAAUGGUAUUCCUUUUUUCCUCCAUCAGUGGGGAUGCAUUCUGCAAGCUUCCAGCUAGAAGAAGGUGCUUGUAGAUCUUUUCAGACCCUCUCUUUUCUAUUUAACUCUUCAGGCACCAAGUUUUCAUGAAUUUGCACACUUUCUAAAACUUUGGGAUGACAGUGGAAACUCUUCUUUUCUUAUAGAAUGGUUUAUGGUGCCCUCUUUUGGAUUUCCAUUUCAAUUCCCAGGCUGGAGCAUGACCCCUGCCGCUCUGAGUUGAACCUAAGAAAUGUGACCAGAACUGGGUUUCCACACAGCUGGCUGCUUGUUUUGUUUUGUUUGGUUUGGGAUAUGAGGAGUAGGGAUUCCAAUUCCCACUCGUGUCUGGCUAGUCCUGGGUCCUGGAAGGGACCAAGCUGGUGAUCCCUUCCAGCUUUCCCAUGUAUAGUGAGGAAUUGUAGGCUGGGGAUGAAAAGGUUGUCUCUGUGGCCGAGAACAGCCAGCAAAACUCUGCUCUCCUGUUAUUCCAGUCAGCUACCUGACUUCCGCUCUUCCCAUGGCUUUAUAAUGAAAAUUGUUCAAAUGAAGAUGUAUGACUUUAUUUUGGUGGGAUGUCUCAGGCGUUUGGUUUGAGGGAUGAAAUGCGUACUUAGCUUUCCACUCAUGCAUAGCCUAGCUAGUCUUUUCAUUACUGCAUUUGGCUCAGUCUUUGCCCAUCAAGCUCUGGCCUCCUUCCUAGGAUAAGUCAUGGCUUUGACUCCAGAGGCAGCCUGAGCCUCCUGCCCCUCUGAUGCUGCUUCCCUGGGCUGCCAGCGUUGGCCUGGAUCACAGGGCCAUUGUGUCAAUAUCCUUCAGUCUUCAACCUAGGAGAUGAAAUUUGAACUGCUCUUGGGGGCAGGAUGUCAGCUUCCUGGAAAAACAACAGACUCUGUCACCUGGAACUGAGUGGCAACAUCCAAGCUGUGAGAAACAUUCUGAAAAUCGAAUGCUGUCUGUGGUCCUUAACACGGGGGGUCCUGGUUCACCAGAGGUGGAACGGCUUUGCUUCGGGGGAAAAUUUUCCAGUCCCAACUGAACACAUUCUCAAAAUGCAGAGCAUUAUGGCCUCUUUGUUUUCCCUGCCUCCUGCAUGAAAGAAGAUACCUGCAAGCAAUUUCCUGUGCUGACAGAUCAGGAACGAAGUCUCUGAGCUCAAGGGCAAAUGGGAGAACUGCCUGCAUCAGGCUGGUCAUUGGGGAAGACUAAUGGCUACAAAGCACCAGCUGAAGAUAUCACCUGGUUAUUUAAAAACCUUUGUGUAGUACAAUGAGCCAAAUGCAAGUUCUAUGCAGAGGACAAGGAACUAUUCAUUUCACUCAGGUUUAACUUUUCAGAAGAGCCCUUUUCAGAAGAGGGCCCCUCUAUUUUGAGAGCACUAAAUCCUCUUGGUGACUUUGGUAAAAGAGACAUGAAAUAACAGAGGAAGCAAAUGUGUUUCAGAUGGAAAUUAAUGGCUCUUGGAAUGGAAUGCCUGGUAAACAUCUGGUGUCCUUUUAUCUUGAAUGAAUGUCUGUCUCCCUUAGUUAAUAGAUUACACCUGUUGACCAACCAAACCUCUCCCUACAUCCAAAUGAAGGUGAAAACACUGAUGUAGAGGUCCCACCCCUAGAGAAAGAUCCUGAUAUAAUCUCUUGGAUUUGCCCUGGGCUUGGGGAAAGUUUUUAAAGUUCCCAGGUGAUUUUAAUAUGCAGCCAAGAUUGAGAACCCCAGUGUAAACAGAAGGAGACUUUGAUAGAUUGGGGGAUAUAAUUUAUUCAUGCAGCAAAAAUUAAAACAAGCUAACUAGUAGCGAUAUGAAUUGUUUAUAAAUAUUUUGUCAUGUGUUUAAAACAUUUUUAAAUGUUUACAUUGUUUACAUUAGAUUUUUAAAUUAUUUUUAUCAGUUUUAGACUUUAUAUUUGAUUUAUUGAGCUCUUGUCAGUAUUAUAAACACAUCAUGAGGCAGAUGUUCUCCUGUCCAUUGUGUCAGUGAUGAGCAACUAUUAACAAACAAAAAUAAGAUGAGUCUACAUAUUGCUCACAGACCCAUGCGUGCCGUCCUUUCAGACUUUUCCCCAGGGGACAACCCUAUAGUGGAUCACCUCUGAUUGAGGACAAUCUGGGGUGGCCAUUUGACACAUUAUGUUUUCUAUUUUAUAACUAGUUUAUAUAGUCAUUUUUAAAAAAGAAUUAGAUAAAUAUAACUGGGUGACUGGCUGAGAGUCCGUCUUUGCAUGGUAGGAGGAAAUUUAACUUAUAUUAGGAGAAAUAUGGUUCUGGAAAAACUAUUAAGUAGUCUGUGCUAGUCAAAGGCUCCUUGAAUUAAAGAAUGUCUGAACUGUGUUGCCAAUAAACCAUCCUCUUGUAGACAAUACUAUGCACUGGUACUUGCAACUGUCUUUACAACUUUGGUUUAAUGACUAUUAAGGCACGACCACAAAACAAACAGGAAAAAGUAAUGCUGAAAAAGUAAUGCAGUAAUACCAUAGUUCCAACCUAAUGCAAACACAUAGAUCCAUAACCACCUCCCACAUAACCAACUAUGCCUGAAAACUCUUAAAUCUGUACAAGAUGUGCUUAUUUAAGACCUUUACUGGCUACCCUUGCAUCCAGCAAUUAAAUACUAGGAAUCUAUGAUUGA
Molecule: long non-coding RNA, 2665 nt
Organism: Herpailurus yagouaroundi (jaguarundi)
Lineage: Eukaryota; Metazoa; Chordata; Mammalia; Carnivora; Felidae
Exons: 2
Source: RefSeq, a predicted model, not a curated record